Gossypium arboreum is the source of this 991-nucleotide long non-coding RNA. RefSeq lists it as uncharacterized. Lineage: Eukaryota; Viridiplantae; Streptophyta; Magnoliopsida; Malvales; Malvaceae. The record is from RefSeq and is a predicted model, not a curated record. The transcript is spliced from 3 exons.
UAUGACAUUAAAAUUAGAUAUGAGUAAGGCCUAUGAUCAAGUGGAAUGGGGCUCUACAAGGGCAAAGAUGGAACGUAUGGGUUUUGAUGUAAGGUGAGUCGACCUUAUCAUGAAAUGUGUCUCUACAGUGUCAUAUUCAGUGAGCAAUAAAGGAAAAAUGGGUGAGUUUUUUCGACCUUUUAGGGGGCUUAGACAAGGAGACCCAUUAAACCCUUUCUUGUUUCUGAUUUGCAAUAAGGGUCUUUCUACCCUUAUGCGCAUGGCUUUGCAGGAGGGUUUGAUUAAAGGGGCAAAAACUAGUAGAUGAGGCCUUCAAAUUUCGCAUUUACUUUUAGUCGGUGAUUAUGUCCUUUUCGGUGAAGCAAAUGAAAGAGGAAUUCAGGUUUUGAAGGGUAUUUUGAAGGAAUAUAAAUCGUGUUCAGACCAAUGUGUGAAUUAAGACAAAUCAACGGUCUUCUAUAGCUCAAAUACCCCAAAAGAAAUUUGAGUGUUGAUUUCGAAAAGGUUUUUAGUUUAGUAUUCAAAUGAUCUUAAGAGGUACCUGGGCUUACCUAACAUGGUGGAUAGACGGAAGAAAGUAGCAUUUCAGCUCUUGAAAGACGGGUUCAAGAAGAAGAUCGAUGGAUGGAAUUUGAAGUUCCUGUCUCAAGGGGGGAAUUAAAUAGUAUCAUGCCACAAUUCAGGUGGCAAAAAGGACAGGAGAAAAAGGAAUACAUUGGUGUGAAUGGUCUUGACUAUGUGAGUUGAAAGAAGAUGGAGGGAACCAACCAACCUAUUCGUGGAAGAGUAUAUGGGUAGCAAGAGGUCUUUUGCAAGAUGGUUUUGGAUGGAAGCUUGGUUCGGGGGACAAUAUUUUAAUUUCCGAGCAUGCUAGAUUCCAGCUUCAGUUGAAUAUCGAUUAUGUGAUAACAUGCAAAGUAAUGAUGUGUCUUUUGUUACAUAUUUUAUUGAUAAAGCUAGCAGAGAAUGGAAAAAGGGAAGUAAUUUUCAA